This 433-nucleotide ribosomal RNA is filed under the name uncultured bacterium. RNAcentral's name for it is "bacterial SSU rRNA". It matches the Rfam family "Bacterial small subunit ribosomal RNA", at positions 958 to 1392 of the family's 1533-position model. The record is from RNAcentral.
AACGCGAAGAACCUUACCUACACUUGACAUCCCUUGCAUUACCCGUAAUUGGGGAAAUCUCUUCGGAGACAAGGUGACAGGUGGUGCAUGGUUGUCGUCAGCUCGUGUCGUGAGAUGUUGGGUUAAGUCCCGCAACGAGCGCAACCCCUAUUGUUAGUUGCUACUAUUAAGUUAAGCACUCUAGCGAGACUGCCUGGGUUAACCAGGAGGAAGGUGGGGACGACGUCAAAUCAUCAUGCCCCUUAUGUGUAGGGCUACACACGUGCUACAAUGGCUGGUACAGAGAGACGCAAGACCGUGAGGUGGAGCAAAUCCCAGAAAACCAGUCCCAGUUCGGAUUGAAGGCUGAAACUCGCCUUCAUGAAGCCGGAGUUGCUAGUAAUCGCGAAUCAGAAUGUCGCGGUGAAUACGUUCCCGGGCCUUGUACACACCG